RNAcentral lists this ribosomal RNA (591 nucleotides) under Pseudozyma sp. LW-04021. RNAcentral describes it as "eukaryotic LSU rRNA". It matches the Rfam family "Eukaryotic large subunit ribosomal RNA", at positions 49 to 615 of the family's 3401-position model. Lineage: Eukaryota; Fungi; Basidiomycota; Ustilaginomycetes; Ustilaginales; Ustilaginaceae. The record is from RNAcentral.
AGCGGAGGAAAAGAAACUAACAAGGAUUCCCCUAGUAACGGCGAGUGAAGAGGGAAGAGCCCAAGAUUGAAAGCUGGCGUCUUCGGCGUCCGCAUUGUAAUCUCAAGAAGUGUUUUCCGCUUCGGACCAUGCCUAAGUCCCUUGGAAAAGGGCAUCAUAGAGGGUGAUAAUCCCGUACAUGGCAUGGAGCGCCCGAAGCUUUGUGAUACGCUUUCUAAGAGUCGAGUUGUUUGGGAAUGCAGCUCAAAAUGGGUGGUAAAUGCCAUCUAAGGCUAAAUAUUGGGGAGAGACCGAUAGCGAACAAGUACAGUGAUGGAAAGAUGAAAAGAACUUUGAAAAGAGAGUUAAACAGUACGUGAAAUUGCCAAAAGGGAAGGGUAGGAGGUCAGAGAUGCAGCCUGGGAUUCAGCCUUGCUUUUUGCUUGGUGUUUUUCCCAGGUGGCAGGCCAACGUCGGUUUUGGGCACUGGAGAAGGGUGGGAGGAAUGUGGCACCUCUCGGGGUGUGUUAUAGCCUCCUACUGGAUACAGCGACCGAGACCGAGGACAGCAGCGUACUCGCAAGAGCGGGCCUUCGGGCACCUUUACGCUUA